RNAcentral lists this non-coding RNA (940 nucleotides) under Pandion haliaetus haliaetus. Its description in RNAcentral is "partial 12S ribosomal RNA". It matches the Rfam family "Bacterial small subunit ribosomal RNA". Lineage: Eukaryota; Metazoa; Chordata; Aves; Accipitriformes; Pandionidae. The record is from RNAcentral.
AAAGACUUAGUCCUAACCUUACUGUUAGUUCGUGCUAGACAUAUACAUGCAAGUAUCCGCACCCCGGUGAAAAUGCCCUAACUUCUUACCAAGACAACAGGAGCUGGCAUCAGGCACGCCCAAGACCGCAGCCUAAGACGCCUUGCUUAGCCACACCCCCACGGGCACUCAGCAGUAAUUAACAUUAAGCAAUAAGUGAAAACUUGACUUAGCCAUAGCACCUACUAGGGCCGGUAAAUCUUGUGCCAGCUACCGCGGUCAUACAAGAGGCCCAAAUUAACUAGUAUUCGGCGUAAAGAGUGGAUACCCACUAUCCAAACAACUAGGGUUAAAACGCAACUAAGCUGUCACAAGCUAAAGAUGCACUUAAACUCAUCCCAAAGAUGACCCUAACUAUACGAUCGACUAACUUCCACGAAAGCCAGGGCACAAACUGGGAUUAGAUACCCCACUAUGCCUGGCCCUAAAUCUCAAUGCUUGACUAACUAAAGCAUUCGCCCGAGAACUACGAGCACAAACGCUUAAAACUCUAAGGACUUGGCGGUGCCUCAAACCCACCUAGAGGAGCCUGUUCUGUAAUCGAUAACCCACGUUACACCUCACCAUCCCUUGCCAAAACAGCCUACAUACCGCCCGUCGCCAGCUCACCUUCCCUGAAAGACUAACAGUGAGCGCAAUAGCUACACCCGCUAGCAAGACAGGUCGAGGUAUAGCUAAUGAGAUGGUAGAAAUGGGCUACAUUUUCUAAGAUAGAAAACCCAACGAAAGGGGGCAUGAAACCUUCCCCCAGAAGGCGGAUUUAGCAGUAAAACAGGAUAAUAAAGCCCAAUUUAAACUGGCCCUGAGGCACGUACAUACCGCCCGUCACCCUCCUCACAAGCUACAACCCUCCUAGAUAACUAACACACCCAAAAGCUGAAGAUGAGGUAAGUCGUAACAA